This 363-nucleotide ribosomal RNA is filed under the name uncultured bacterium. Its description in RNAcentral is "bacterial SSU rRNA". It matches the Rfam family "Bacterial small subunit ribosomal RNA", at positions 28 to 404 of the family's 1533-position model. The record is from RNAcentral.
GACGAACGCUGGCGGCGUGCUUAACACAUGCAAGUCACGGGGCCGCAAGGCAACCGGCGAACGGUGCGUAACACGUGAACAACCUGCCCUCGUGUGGGGGAGUAGCCAUGCUAACGCGUGGGUAAUACCGCAUACGUUCUCUUGGGGGAGUCCCUGAGAGAGGAAAGCUCCGGCGCACGGGGAGGGGUUCGCGGCCUAUCAGCUAGUUGGCGGGGUAAUGGCCCACCAAGGCGACGACGGGUAGCNGGUCUGAGAGGAUGGCCAGCCACAUUGGGACUGAGAGACGGCCCAGACCUCCUACGGGAGGCAGCAGUGGGGAAUCUUGCGCAAUGGCCGAAAGGCUGACGCAGCGACGCCGCGUGU